This 500-nucleotide ribosomal RNA is filed under the name uncultured bacterium. Its description in RNAcentral is "partial 16S ribosomal RNA". It matches the Rfam family "Bacterial small subunit ribosomal RNA", at positions 30 to 523 of the family's 1533-position model. The record is from RNAcentral.
AUUGAACGCUGGCGGAAUGCUUUACACAUGCAAGUCGAACGGCAGCACGGACUUCGGUCUGGUGGCGAGUGGCGAACGGGUGAGUAAUGUAUCGGGACGUGCCCAGUCGUGGGGGAUAACGUAGUGAAAAUUACGCUAAUACCGCAUACGAUCUAUGGAUGAAAGCGGGGGAUCGCAAGACCUCGCGCGAUUGGAGCGGCCGAGAUCAGAUUAGGUAGUUGGUGGGGUAAAGGCCCACCAAGCCAACGAUCUGUAGCUGGUCUGAGAGGACGACCAGCCACACUGGAACUGGGACACGGUCCAGACUCCUACGGGAGGCAGCAGUGGGGAAUUUUGGACAAUGGGCGAAAGCCUGAUCCAGCCAUUCCGCGUGCAGGAUGAAGGCCCUCGGGUUGUAAACUGCUUUUGUACAGAACGAAAAGGUUUCUACUAAUACUAGGAGCUCAUGACGGUACUGUAAGAAUAAGCACCGGCUAACUACGUGCCAGCCGCCGCAGUAA